RNAcentral lists this long non-coding RNA (446 nucleotides) under Sinocyclocheilus grahami. RNAcentral describes it as "lncRNA (ENSSGRG00000000755.1)". The record is from RNAcentral. Lineage: Eukaryota; Metazoa; Chordata; Actinopteri; Cypriniformes; Cyprinidae.
CUGCUUUGAGUGCUGCAGGGAUGACAGUGGAGACGUCCCGCAGACGGACUCCUCAGCCAUCAAGGACGUUGCAUGAAUUUCCAAUUAGAGGCAGCAAUGAAGCAAGAUCUCUACGAAAGCUGGUCAUGUGAAGCAACUUCAGCAAGCUAGCACACUUUCACUUAUUUUUAGUAGGCCAUGAUGGUAUACAAACUCACAGAACAUUGACAGAUUCACAUAAGCAUAUUUCAUGUUAAUAAAUUCAGCUGCAAGGGUUUGUGGGACUCCUAGUUUAAUAAUAUAUGAUUGAUAUUUGCUUUAAUCUUUCAUUAGAUGAGUGUCAGAUUUUUCUGAAAAAUGAGAGUCUCGCCUUGUAGCAUUGCUGUUUCUUAGAAUAGAACAUUUCUAUCAUGCACACAAUAGAAAUUGUUUGUCUACAUUACACUUAACUGUUGUUUUGAUAAAAG